UUGCCGUCCCCCUUCCUCCUCUUUUCCCCUCAGGAGAAGUCGGGAAGGUGGCGGUCGG
RNAcentral lists this microRNA precursor (58 nucleotides) under Mustela putorius furo (domestic ferret). Its description in RNAcentral is "miRNA (ENSMPUG00000021840.1)". The record is from RNAcentral. Lineage: Eukaryota; Metazoa; Chordata; Mammalia; Carnivora; Mustelidae.